UUUGCUAUUAUUUAAUUGAAUUUAGAUUAAUUUAAAACACGAAAAUCAAUAUCAAAAUUUUAAAAAAAAAUUGCAGAGUUCAAAUCAAAAAGUAAUCCCACCAAUUUAUCUUAAUUGAUUUGUUAAGAGGUCACAGACAGAGUUACUUUGUUGGAAAAAAGUAACAUAUUUACUGUUGAUGUUUAAGUCAUGUUAGUAUUUUGAAUCUCCUUGUAAUGAAUGUAAAAUUCUGUAUGUAUACAGAGACCUACUUGGGUUUCUAGUGGUUACUACUAGGCUUUAGCUUGUGUGUAGGUUGUCAUGGUUAUAGUGAUCAUUGUUGUUGCUAUGGUGAUUUAUUUCUGUCCAUACAAAACUAGUUCCAUUUGCAUUUAGUUGUCAUGGUUACUGGGACCAAUUUUUGUUGUACAAUGAACUCCCAUUCAGAUUAGCUGCAAUGGUUUAAUAUUAGAAGGACGUGUUCUUCUUUCCUAUGACUUUUUUUCACUGUUGUUACAGUACAUAACUUCUCUAUUUAUAUUUAGUUGCCAUGGUUACGGGGAGUCAUGUUAUCGUUGCUAUGGUAACCCAAUCAUCGUUUUAUGGUUAUGGGAAGUCUAUAUAGAUUGAAGUACCUAGUUUGUUAUCUAGACUGUUUAAACAUAGAUUAUAUACCGAUUGUUCUUGAUGGUACCGACAAUUUGCAUAAUGAAUAUUUUACAAUGAAAAUUUAUUGAAGAAUUUCAGUAACGAAUUUACAUAAUUAUGUGCAAUAUAAGAUUGGAGACUGAAUAUCGUCUUUCUGUUCAAGAUUACUUUAUUAUUACAUAAACAGUACAUUUGUGCCAUAAUAAUCCUCAGCAAGUAUCAUGUAAAAUAGUUAAUUAUUAUUUUUAUACCGACAUGUACAUGUAUUUACUUUUCUCUUGUAAAUGCUCUAGAUGAAACAUCAAUUCAGAACUUUAGGAUUGUGUAGAAGCACAGACUAAGACAUGUGAAUGUUUUCCGAUCAGAACUUGUUUAGUUUUUUCCGUCAAUUUUUCACGGUCCAGUCUUGUGUUCACCAAAUCAGAACUGUUACAGGAAUCCAGAAUUGAUUUCAAUUGAUGUUCAUGUGCUUGACAGAAAUGGUAACUGUAAGAAAUAUUUGCUUGUUUUAAAUGCAGGAGGAACCAAACAAAAGCCAUCUGAAAUGAAAGCUGCAUUUUCGUUGAUGUUGAGAAUGUAAAUAAAGGAUGAGAAUACAGAUUCUUUGAAAUGAUUUACAACCUUCUUGCUUACAAAUAUUUUCUUUAAUUAAAGGCUCUUGAGCAUUGUAAGCCAAUAUUUCAUUUUGGUCACCUCUGACAGUUGCCACAUUUGUGCAAUAAUAUGUGAUGUGUUUUCUUGUCUUUGGUGCUGUAUAGGAUCUGGAUGGCAAAUCAAUGCCAAUAAGUCCUUUGUUGUGAAAAAGUCUAAACUAAUGCCAUGUUGAUCACCUAAACCAAGGUCAGUUUUAUGAGAUAAAGUUUUUGAUCACAAUCAGACAUAUCCUGUCUGACAGGGUCUCUCAUACUGCAACUCUUUAUUAGGCAGGUAUGAGGACUAAUUAAAAAUGUCAAGGUCACAGCUUGUUCAGACCGAAUAGAACUCUAACUAAUGAGGUCAAGGUGAUAGAUUAUCUAGACUGGAGAGUAAGGGAUGAGGACUAACAAAUGAUGUCAAGGUCAUAGAUUGUCUAGACUUGAUAGUCUUUUUAUGUCAUAGCUUGUUUGGACUGGAUAGUUAGGGAUGAUAUCUAACUAAUGAUGCCAAGGUCAUAUAUUAUCUAGACUGGAGAGUUAGGGAUGAGGACUAACAAAUGAUGUCAAGGUCAUAGAUUGUCUAGACUGGAUAGUUAGGGAUGAGGACUAACAAAUGAUGUCAAGGUCAUAGCUUGUUUAGACUGGAUAGUUAGGGAUGAGAUCUAACUAAUGAUGUCAAGGUCAUAGCUUGUUUAGACUGGAUAGUUAGGGAUGAUUUCUAACAAAUGAGGUCAAGGUCAUAGCUUGUUUAGAUUGGAUAGUUAGGGAUGAGGACUAACAAAUGAUGUCAAGGUCAUAGCUUGUUUAGACUGGUUAGUUAGGGAUGAGGACUAACAAAUGAUGUCAAGGUCAUAGCUUGUUUAGACUGGUUAGUUAGGGAUGAGGACUAACAAAUGAUGUCAAGGUCAUAGCUUGUUUAGACUGGAUAGGUAGGGAUGAGAUCUAACAAAUGAUGUCAAGGUCAUAGCUUGUUUAGACUGGAUAGUUAGGGAUGAGAUCUAACAAAUGAUGUCAAGGUCAUAAACUUUCCAAAGAUUCACUAGGGUUUUUUUCUUCUGUUUCUGUACCCUGUAUCUGAUCAAAAUGAAAUUCGAUCAAUGAAAUGGAUUUUUUUUUUAUUUUUUUUACUACAACCAGUGUUUCUUCAUUUAUCAUUUCAGUACCCUUGUAUAUUCAACUUUGUUAACUUUUUCUAUGCUUUUUCUUUAGCUUGUGACAAAAUAUUAUUUGAAAAGAAUUUUUAUUAUUUCAAAAUUUGAUUGCUAUAUAUAUAUAUGCGACUUGAUCUUCCAGUCUUUUAAGUGAACACAAGCUGUCUCCAUAUUGUCCUUUAAUGAGUAUUUUUAAUUAUCAAAAUAUCUUGCACUGGUAUCAUAGUACAGUAUCAGUAAUCUACACUUGUCUCUUGUAUGUUAUUACUCCUAGAGAUAUAUUGGACCUUUCCUCAAGUCUUUGUUAAACUUUUAAAAGAUUAUAAUUGUUGAUAUAUGUUAUAUACACAGUUGAUAUAGAUUAUACACUAUAUAAGAUCAUAGACAUUUUCUAAAGUAUAUACUCACUUGUAGUAGUAUUGUGUUGGAAUAAAUAUAAUGUAGAA
Molecule: long non-coding RNA, 2859 nt
Filed under: Mizuhopecten yessoensis (Yesso scallop)
Lineage: Eukaryota; Metazoa; Mollusca; Bivalvia; Pectinida; Pectinidae
Description: uncharacterized LOC110446092
Source: RNAcentral